UGGGGAAUUUUGCGCAAUGGACGAAAGUCUGACGCAGCGACGCCGCGUGCGGGAGGAAGCCUUUCGGGGUGUAAACCGCUGUCAGGAGGGAAGAACAUCGACUGUGCAAAUAGCGCUAUCGACUGACGGUACCUCCAGAGGAAGCACCGGCUAACUCCGUGCCAGCAGCCGCGGUAAUACGGAGGGUGCAAGCGUUGUUCGGAAUUACUGGGCGUAAAGCGCGGGCAGGUGGCGCGUUAAGUCUUCUGUGAAAACCCGGGGCUCAACUCCGUGGACCGCAGAAGAUACUGGCGCGCUAGAGUAUGGUAGAGGCAGGCGGAAUUCCUGGUGUAGCGGUGGAAUGCGUAGAUAUCAGGAAGAACACCUGUGGCGAAGGCGGCCUGCUGGGCCAUUACUGACACUCAUCCGCGAAAGCGUGGGGAGCAAACAGGAUUAGAUACCCCCGUAGUCC
This 451-nucleotide ribosomal RNA is filed under the name uncultured prokaryote. Its description in RNAcentral is "bacterial SSU rRNA". It matches the Rfam family "Bacterial small subunit ribosomal RNA", at positions 355 to 796 of the family's 1533-position model. The record is from RNAcentral.